GAGGGUGUUAGUUAGUCUCGAUAGUGUUACCAAGACCGCAACGAGCUGAUCUAAAAGCUCGUCAUAGAUAACAACAACAAAAGACCCUUUAGCGGCAUUUUUAAAGUCGCAAAACAUUUAUCCCAUGGGGGUGUUUUUCCACGGGUAGGAAUCCUAAGUUUUUACUCUUGAAUAUGGCUUUUGAGUGUCACACAUCCUCUGUUUUUAGAGGAUUACGUAUUGAAAGCUAGGAGUUUGCUUAGAGUGUCAUUAGGUUAGUAAAUGUGGCUGUAACGCCCUGACAGUCGGGCUGCAAACGGUUAAAUUUAAUAGACUGCUCUAAGCAUGUAGAGCUAUAGGCAGAGGGCUGACGGACGCGGGUUCAAUUCCCGCCGCCUCCACCA
RNAcentral lists this transfer-messenger RNA (383 nucleotides) under Porticoccaceae bacterium. It matches the Rfam family "transfer-messenger RNA", at positions 52 to 374 of the family's 374-position model. From Rfam's summary of the family: Bacterial tmRNA, also known as 10Sa RNA or SsrA, is named for its dual tRNA and mRNA-like properties. Its role is to liberate the mRNA from a stalled ribosome. To accomplish this part of the tmRNA is used as a reading frame that ends in a translation stop signal. The record is from RNAcentral. Lineage: Bacteria; Pseudomonadati; Pseudomonadota; Gammaproteobacteria; Cellvibrionales; Porticoccaceae.